CCUACUAAAAUGCUCAUUUGUGUGUGGACCCCCAAAUGUUAAAUUAAAUCAAGGCUACUCGCGGUCUGCUGCUAUUGCCCGCCAGGUUUUUUGCAUUUAUUUUCACGUGUAGCUGAUCCACUGUACUGAGAAGUGCUAGCUUCCUGUUAUUAACAAACCAACUUGGGGCGGCUGCAAAACAGCCUGUGACAUUCUGUGCAUUAUAAACAGUAGUAAGUCACUGGAGUAAUUGGCUGAAGAAUUUACAAUCCAUUGUUUUGGAAUCUUGUUCUUCCUCCAUGGCAAAGGAAGAAAAGGAGAAAGAGAGAGCGAGAGACAAGAAUGGAAAUGAUGAUUUGUAUACACGUUGUCCUUCUGGGAAGUUUGGGAGACUGGCUGAUGUGUUUGCUGAGGACCAGAGUUGGGGAUGGAAGGUGAACAAAGAGACUCAAUGAUGGUCAUUGUGCUUGAGACAUGGCAUUGGAAACCAAAAGAGUACACUGUAGGUGCUAAAUAAACCAAGAUGCUCGGAGCUGAAGAAAGCAAGUUGAGUGGGGCUGUCCCCUCUACCCAGACCCCUGUUACCCCUGUGGAUGCCUUUGCAAGCCCCUGGGCAGUACCCAGGCAGCAUCAGGACGGCUGCCUGCCGCCUUCGGUCCUACCGCCCCACCUCCAGCAGCCCAGAACCCU
This 669-nucleotide long non-coding RNA is filed under the name Homo sapiens (human). RNAcentral's name for it is "HSALNT0209672". Lineage: Eukaryota; Metazoa; Chordata; Mammalia; Primates; Hominidae. The record is from RNAcentral.